This 407-nucleotide ribosomal RNA is filed under the name uncultured bacterium. RNAcentral's name for it is "bacterial SSU rRNA". It matches the Rfam family "Bacterial small subunit ribosomal RNA", at positions 354 to 775 of the family's 1533-position model. The record is from RNAcentral.
AUUAGGAAUCUUGCGCAAUGGGGGCAACCCUGACGCAGCGACGCCGCGUGAAGGAUGAAGUCCUUCGGGAUGUAAACUUCUUUUCUCAAGGAAGAAGAAUGUGACGGUACUUGAGGAAUAAGCCCCGGCUAACUACGUGCCAGCAGCCGCGGUAAUACGUAGGGGGCGAGCGUUGUCCGAAUUUACUGGGCGUAAAGAGCGCGUAGGCGGGCUCUUAAGUGAGAGGUGAAAUUUUCGGGCUCAACCCGAAGCGUGCCUUUCAUACUGGGAGCCUUGAGUGUGGGAGAGGCGAGUGGAAUUUCUGGUGUAGCGGUGAAAUGCGUAGAUAUCAGAAGGAACACCCAUGGCGAAGGCAGCUCGCUGGCCUACAACUGACGCUGAGGCGCGAAAGCGUGGGGAGCAAACAG